RNAcentral lists this non-coding RNA (113 nucleotides) under Cellulomonas timonensis. RNAcentral describes it as "S-adenosyl methionine (SAM) riboswitch". It matches the Rfam family "SAM (S-adenosyl methionine) riboswitch aptamer". From Rfam's summary of the family: SAM-IV is a mRNA element that regulates gene expression via direct sensing of S-adenosylmethionine (SAM or AdoMet). SAM-IV riboswitches share conserved nucleotide positions with the previously described SAM-I riboswitches sequence analysis and molecular recognition experiments suggest that SAM-I and SAM-IV riboswitches share similar ligand binding sites, but have different scaffolds. Lineage: Bacteria; Bacillati; Actinomycetota; Actinomycetes; Micrococcales; Cellulomonadaceae. The record is from RNAcentral.
GGUCAUGAGUGCCAGCGCACAGCCCCGGCUUGCUGGCCGGCAACCCUCCUCCGCGGUGGGGUGCCCCGGGUGACGACCAGGUCGUGCGCACGUCCGCGCACGGCAAGCGCGGG